RNAcentral lists this ribosomal RNA (253 nucleotides) under uncultured bacterium. RNAcentral's name for it is "partial 16S ribosomal RNA". It matches the Rfam family "Bacterial small subunit ribosomal RNA", at positions 524 to 776 of the family's 1533-position model. The record is from RNAcentral.
UACGAAGGGGGCUAGCGUUGCUCGGAAUGACUGGGCGUAAAGCGUGCGCAGGCGGUUCGUUGUGUCUGAUGUGAAAGCCCCGGGCUUAACCUGGGAAUGGCAUUGGAAACUGGCGAGCUGGAGUGUGGCAGAGGGGGGUGGAAUUCCGCGUGUAGCAGUGAAAUGCGUAGAGAUGCGGAGGAACACCGAUGGCGAAGGCAGCCCCCUGGGCUGACACUGACGCUCAGGCACGAAAGCGUGGGGAGCAAACAGG